Molecule: long non-coding RNA, 435 nt
Filed under: Setaria viridis
Lineage: Eukaryota; Viridiplantae; Streptophyta; Magnoliopsida; Poales; Poaceae
Description: long non-coding RNA (SVIR_LNC009309)
Source: RNAcentral
CUAUGCAUAAGUUAUUCAGUAGCGGGGCUAAUAUCCAAAUGUAUGGAUUCAAUCACAUUUAUAGAUACGAGACACGAUAGCAUGGCAACCAUCUACUUAAUAUAUAUAUUAAUGGCAAGAGUGUAUAAGGAUUCAGUGCAUAAUGAUUUUAUCAUGAUUCCUAGAAAAUGAUUUUAUCAUGACCCAUUGCUGCAUGUAUGUAAUUUUCUCAAAGGUUUAAAUAGUAGCUCGUUUGCAACUCAGCUAGAAAAUACAACACAAAUAUUUGCUCCCAAAUAUAAGCUGCCCAUGACACGCCCAGAAACCGUCCACAACCUUGAAGCAUAGAAGCUGCAGGAAAAGUAUAUAUGGUUAUGAGAAUGAACACCAGAACAUGUACAUCAUAAUAAAUCAUGAAUUACAAAACUAACAUACCUCAUGACUCCAAGACAUCCC